GGUCUCAUGGUGUAAUGGUCAGCAGUUUGGACUUUGAAUCCAACGAUCCGAGUUCAAAUCUCGGUGAGACCU
RNAcentral lists this transfer RNA (72 nucleotides) under Dermacentor silvarum. Its description in RNAcentral is "transfer RNA glutamine (anticodon UUG)". It matches the Rfam family "tRNA". Rfam says of the family: Transfer RNA (tRNA) molecules are approximately 80 nucleotides in length. Their secondary structure includes four short double-helical elements and three loops (D, anti-codon, and T loops). The record is from RNAcentral. Lineage: Eukaryota; Metazoa; Arthropoda; Arachnida; Ixodida; Ixodidae.